Molecule: small nuclear RNA, 97 nt
Organism: Otolemur garnettii (small-eared galago)
Lineage: Eukaryota; Metazoa; Chordata; Mammalia; Primates; Galagidae
Source: Ensembl
GUGCUCACUUGGGCAGCACAUAUACUAGAAUUGGAGAAGACUAGCAGGGCCCCUGUGCAAGGAUGACAUGCAAAUGGGUGAAGCAGUCCAUGUUUUU